RNAcentral lists this long non-coding RNA (476 nucleotides) under Panax ginseng (ginseng). RNAcentral's name for it is "long non-coding RNA (PGIN_LNC013335)". Lineage: Eukaryota; Viridiplantae; Streptophyta; Magnoliopsida; Apiales; Araliaceae. The record is from RNAcentral.
AUGAGCAGAAGCUGAUUGCAAGCAACAAGUUAUAUAUAUUGAGCCAUCUGUCACAAAAACCCAUUGCUUUUUAUUUUUUUAUGAGCAGCUGUAUAGAUCUUGAUACAAACCUUAGCCCCUUUGAUCCACCUUGAAAAGCUAGUUACUCAAGUGGAGAGGCUAAACUCACAUCAAGUUGCAUUUGUAAUCGAUGUGGGACUAUUCCUUACGGUUUAGUAUGGAGUUCGCAUUAGAUCUCUCCCACAAAAACGACGAGUCCAGCAAUAUCAAAUUCGCUGAAGAAUCCCAAGUGACAAAUGAGUGAACAAAAACACUCACAAAUUCACAAGAGGAAGCAUUGCACAAACAGUGAGGAAAAAAGUUAACCCAACAGUCUGUUGGCUCAGUGAUUCAAAUGACGAUCCGAGAUUAAUCGUAGACCCUGACAUCUUGCAUCGAAUCCCACUUACAAUAAUUGUGAAAAAGCAAUAAAUAAA